RNAcentral lists this ribosomal RNA (344 nucleotides) under uncultured Veillonellaceae bacterium. Its description in RNAcentral is "partial 16S ribosomal RNA". Lineage: Bacteria; Bacillati; Bacillota; Negativicutes; Veillonellales; Veillonellaceae. The record is from RNAcentral.
GGAGUUUGGACCGUGUCUCAGUUCCAUUGUGGCCGUUCAUCCUCUCAGACCGGCUACCGAUCGUCGGCUUGGUAGGCUCUUACCCCACCAACUACCUAAUCGGACGCAGGCUCCUCGCAAAGCGAUAAAUCUUUGGUACAAAAUUCAUGCAAACUCUGUACUUCAUUCGGUAUUAGCGCCUCUUUCGAAACGUUGUCCCCAUCUUUGCGGCAGAUUACCUGCGCUUUACUCACCCGUCCGCCACUAAGUAUCCCAGUUGAGUCAAUCCAAAGCAAGCUUCUUCAAUCCUCGGGCGGAAUACUCCGUUCGACUUGCAUGUGUUAAGCACGCCGCCAGCGUUCAUC